This 76-nucleotide transfer RNA is filed under the name Oscillospiraceae bacterium. RNAcentral's name for it is "tRNA-Pro". It matches the Rfam family "tRNA". Rfam says of the family: Transfer RNA (tRNA) molecules are approximately 80 nucleotides in length. Their secondary structure includes four short double-helical elements and three loops (D, anti-codon, and T loops). The record is from RNAcentral. Lineage: Bacteria; Bacillati; Bacillota; Clostridia; Eubacteriales; Oscillospiraceae.
CGGGGUGUAGCGCAGCUGGUAGCGCGCUAGUUUUGGGAACUAGAUGUCGUCGGUUCGAAUCCGGUCACCCCGACCA